GACGAACGCUGGCGGCGUGCUUAACACAUGCCAGUCGAACGGAAAGGCCCUGCUUUUGUGGGGUGCUCGAGUGGCGAACGGGUGAGUAACACGUGAGUAACCUGCCCUUGACUUUGGGAUAACUUCAGGAAACUGGGGCUAAUACCGGAUAGGAGCUCCUGCUGCAUGGUGGGGGUUGGAAAGUUUCGGCGGUUGGGGAUGGACUCGCGGCUUAUCAGCUUGUUGGUGGGGUAGUGGCUUACCAAGGCUUUGACGGGUAGCCGGCCUGAGAGGGUGACCGGCCACAUUGGGACUGAGAUACGGCCCAGACUCCUGCGGGAGGCAGCAGUGGGGAAUAUUGCACAAUGGGCGGAAGCCUGAUGCAGCAACGCCGCGUGCGGGAUGACGGCCUUCGGGUUGUAAACCGCUUUCGCCUGUGACGAAGCGUGAGUGACGGUAAUGGGUAAAGAAGCACCGGCUAACUACGU
This 467-nucleotide ribosomal RNA is filed under the name uncultured bacterium. RNAcentral describes it as "partial 16S ribosomal RNA". It matches the Rfam family "Bacterial small subunit ribosomal RNA", at positions 28 to 506 of the family's 1533-position model. The record is from RNAcentral.